This 3345-nucleotide long non-coding RNA is filed under the name Podarcis lilfordi (Lilford's wall lizard). Lineage: Eukaryota; Metazoa; Chordata; Lepidosauria; Squamata; Lacertidae. The record is from RNAcentral.
UCAAAGCAUUGUGUCAGAAUGUCAAGUGUUAUUUCUCUCUCUCUGUGUCUGUCUCUCUCUCUCACUCACACACACCUAUCAUCUCUAUCAUCUAUCUGUCUACCAUCUAUCUAUCUAUCUAUCUAUCUAUCUAUAUCUAUCUAUCUAUCAUUUAUCUAUCCAGUGCUUUUUCCCCUCAAAAUUUUUUUAGGGUUACUCUCAUUUUCCUACUCUUAUUGAAAUGCUGCCCCUGAAUGAGGCCAAACUUAGAUUCACAAAAUCUUUAGGGAUACAUGUACUCCUGCGUACCCCCAGAAGAAAAGCACAGUAUCCAUCUAACAUGGAGGCUAUGGAGUUGCUUCACUGUUUUCUAGUACCUGUAUCAGGUUGAUUCAAGGUUGAAGACAACAAUAUGAGCCAUUAGACAGAGGCAGUUCUGUUUGCACGUUGAUGUCACAUGAUUCUAUUAUUCUAUGUGUAUAUAAAAGAAUAACCAGGGGAAGUUGCACAGGUACAAAUUGUAUUCAGGCCAGUGUGUUUAUUGAAUGUAAACAAAUGUGUAAUCACCAACCAUUUACCUGUUGCCGUGGCAACCAUUUUCAGAGCUUCGGAAGGGAUACAGUCAGUAAUCUCCGCUAGACAAUUUAGGAGCAACUGCUAAGAGGGAAGCCUGCCAUACAGCAUUGGAGCUAAGCUCUUAUGUUAGCCUUUGAUUCAUAGACUUCCAUGAACCAAUAAACUGCCUAAAUUAUCACCGUGUAGCUCUUGCAACCAGGAAGUCUAAGGCAAUCUCUUGCUAGCGGUAUUGAUCAACAAAAAUCCACACAUAUGCUUCCAUUUCACUGAGAAGGUGUGCUCAAACUAGUAUCACUCAUACCCUGCAGUGGGGAAAGCUGCAAUGCAAAUCCAACAUUGUGCCCUUCAGGUGGUGUUGGACCACAACUCCCAUCAGCCCCAGGUAGCCUGGGAUGAUGCAGGGCACCUCAUUGGCCACCUCUGCUCUAGUUGAUUCCAGUGCUUAUUGUGCCUGUCUCAUGCACUGAAUUUUAAAUGCUGGGAGAACACCGAAAAAUAUAACCUCUACCUUCUGGCUCAAGUAGACUGGCCAUUCUACAAUCUCAGCAAACUACCAACUCAUUCCACUGUGUGCCCCACAGGCUGAGGAGAACAUAAGAUGAGCCUGCUGGGUCAGGUAAGUGGCCCAUCUAGUGCGGCAUCCUGUUUUCACAGUGGGCACCAAAAUGCCUAUGGGAAGCCUGCAAGCAGACCCUGAGAGCAAUGCACUCUCCCCUUCCGUGGUUUACAGGAACUGGUAUUCAGAAUCACACUGCCUCCAACUAUUGGCAGAACAUCUGUAGCCAUCAUGGCUGGUAGCCAUGGAUAGUUUGGUCCUCCAUGAAUUUGUCUAAUUCUCAUUUAAAACCAUCCAAAUUAAAUUGUCGGAUUAUGCCGAAAUGGCAAAACUGACUGGAAAGCUCAGGAACCAGGAAGACCAAAGCUUUAAUACGGAAUGGGGAAAAAUUAUAAUUUACCUUGGAGACCACUGUUAAACAGUUGAUAACACUAGCAGGAUUGCAAUAACACUUGUAACGAGAGCUAUGGACAUAAAGGAGUUAUAAAAAACCUUGACAAUUGAAAUAAAAAGAUGCCGUAGAAAAGGUGUAACAACAGAACCCAUGGAGGGGAAGGUGGGAAGUUCUGAUUGUGGAUGUGUUGUGGUAUUACUAUAAUUUUAAAUUUGUAAAACCAAAUAAAAAUUAUUUUGAAAAAACAGAAACAAUAAAACUAUCCAAGUUGGUGGCCAUCAAUGCCUCCUGUGUGGGCGAGUGUCAUGCUUUAGCUAUGCACUGUGUGAAGAAGUAUUUCUUUUAUCUAUCUUGAAUCUUCCAACAUUCAGUUUCAUUGGAUGUCCCCAUGAGUUCUAGGGUUAUGAAAUAAGGAGAGAAACUUUAUUCUAUCCACUUUCUUCAUGGCAUGCAUAAUGUAAUACACUUCUGUCAUGUUGCCUCUCACUCAUCUUUUCUCUAAAAGUCCAAAUGCUGCAACCUUUCCUCAUAGUGUUUGAAGAGAAACACGUUUGAAGCAAUGGCACCCAGCAAGAUAUCACAGUGUAAGUGCUUCCUUCCUCUCAAUUUUGCAUUUUCUUGUUGUGUAUGUCUGUUGCUGUGCAGGGGAGGGAAUCCACCCACCUCCAGUGUCUUGCUAUCCUCAUUGCUUCUAGUCUCAUUGUUGUCCUCAUUGCCUCAGUAUUAGGUCUGGGUGUCCUGAAGAAACAAAUAUAUAUACAUUUUUAGCAACAACAAAAGUAAAAUACCUAGUAAGGCUUCAAUUUUUAUGCAUAUUUUCUUAGGAGUAAGUACACUGAACUCAGUGGGAUGGACUAAAGUGUAAAGAACAGAUGAUCACGAUGCAAAGUAUUUAACAUGUGGAACUCAACAGCCAAAGGAUGUAGCCACUACUUAGAUGACUUUGAAAAGGGUUAGGCGUGGUGUGGCCCUCCAGGUGUGUUUGCAACACAACUCCCACCAUCCCUGAUGAUUGGGGCUGACAGGAGGUGGAAUCUAAGAACAUCUGAAGGCCAUAGGUUCCCCACUUCCAGGCUGGAUAAUUUCAUGGAUCAUAGAUGUUUCAAAGGCUAUCAAGCCAUGAUAACUAAAAUGGAAUAUGCAUAUAUAUUUCUGCAUAUUGAAUGUUAGGGACCUACAAUGAGAAAGAGCCAUGCCUUUCUGCCAUGCCCAUGGACUCCCUGGAGGCAUCUUGCUGGCCAAUGUGUGAAAUCCUGAGCAAGAUGGUAUGUUGCCUUUAUUGUUUAUGCAGAAUUUCACUACAAGCUGAGUUGAAGGUUAACAAACUUUACCUCUGAUGAGACUUGGGAGCCCACAUAAAGUAGUACAGUGGUACCUCGGGUUACAGACACUUCAGGUUACAGACGCUUCAGGUUACAGACUCCACUAACCCAGAAAUAGUACCUCGGGUUAAGAACUUUGCUUCAGGAUGAGAACAGAAAUUGCGCAGUGGCGACGCGGCGGCAGCGGGAGGCCCCAUUAGCUAAAGUGGUGCUUCAGGUUAAGAACAGUUCCAAGUUAAGAACGGCCCUCCAGAACGAAUUAAGUUCUUAACCAGAGGUACCACUGUAGUCAACUUCACCAACCAGACCACACCUCUGAGCUAGCCUCCAGCGCCAUAGCUAUUUCUCUUAAAUGCAUUAUAGAUGGAUGAUUAGUCUGUUCCAUCAGGUUAAUCUACAAUCCUAAAUCCACUGGAUAUAGAGUAACUCCACUGAACACAGUGGAAUUACCUCUCAGUAAACACUCAUAGGAUUUGACUGCACACUGUAUGUUUUUAAACUCUUCUAAAUGUAAGAUG